RNAcentral lists this ribosomal RNA (253 nucleotides) under uncultured bacterium. RNAcentral's name for it is "partial 16S ribosomal RNA". It matches the Rfam family "Bacterial small subunit ribosomal RNA", at positions 524 to 776 of the family's 1533-position model. The record is from RNAcentral.
UACGUAGGGGGCAAGCGUUGUCCGGAAUCAUUGGGCGUAAAGAGCGUGUAGGCGGCUCGAUAAGUCCGCUGUGAAAGUCCAGGGCUCAACCCUGGAAUGCCGGUGGAUACUGUCGGGCUAGAGUCCGGAAGGGGCGAGUGGAAUUCCUGGUGUAGCGGUGAAAUUCGUAGAUAUUGGGUGGAACACCGGUGGCGAAAGCGGCUCUCUGGUCCGGACCUGACGCUGAGGCGCGAAAGCGUGGGGAGCAAACAGG